AUGACGGUGACAAGGACGCUGGCAACCCGUGUCUCCUUCCACCGCCCCCAGCUCGUCUUCUCGCCGGCCGCUUUGCAGGAGCCUCCUUUUGCGCGCCCCCAUGGUCGGGUUGUGGCGACCACCAGAGGUCCGCCGCCGGUAGGAGCUCCCUCCUUCUCCACUACGAGGAACCAGCAGAGGGGGACGACUCCUCCUUGCAUCCCUAGCCGCGGCGUCCAACCUCUAACACCGCUUGAAACCCUAUCCCGAAUCCGGCAGAAGUGCAGCAGCACGGGAUCCCCUCCAAAAGUAGCAUCUUCUUCUUCCUCUGGUUCUUCUUCUUCUUCCCCGGGUCUGAUGCAUGUGUGUGUUCGCGUGGUCGUCUGCAGGGAGUUGAAGGAAGGGGUGGGCCAUGGAGAAGCUGCUAGGUGUGGGCCUGAAGCCAUGGAUGGAUAG
This 435-nucleotide ribosomal RNA is filed under the name Triticum aestivum (bread wheat). RNAcentral's name for it is "partial small subunit ribosomal RNA". The record is from RNAcentral. Lineage: Eukaryota; Viridiplantae; Streptophyta; Magnoliopsida; Poales; Poaceae.